GUUGCUAAUGGGGACGGAGUUCAAGCAGGCGAUAAAAGUUGUAGAAGAGGGAAACAAAUACUUUACUCGUCGCAUUUAUGGACCGACAUCCACCGUUUGGGUUCUGAUUAAUCUACAACUGCUGAUACAAUGGUGGUGGAUGUACUUAGAGACAAUAAGAAAAAAAGACACUGUGACGCAAGGGAAAGCCUGAUGAGAUAAGCAUUGGUUGGGAAAUUGAUAAGAUCUACAAGUUUGACGGAGGGUAGAAACUAACUCUUGAAAGCAUAGCUUCUUCCUAUUUAUACUUAAUGAUCCUUAUUGAGGAAACAUCCAAUGAUCUUGUGAUUUCAAGAGAAAGUCCUAUAUGAGUGAACUCUGUUACUGAUUGAGAUCCUUAUACUCCAUAUGAUGCACAAAUAUUUUAAUGACACGUGAUACGUCCCGAGUACACGGAGAAUUGUGCUUUCUGACAAGUGACAAAGCAUUUGAUCAAGUGUCUAUUAGUUGGCUUCCUUCCUUCCGACAUGGAUCGGUAUAUAUGAUGUAUAUAUGUUAAUGUAUAUAGUUGCAGUUUGUGAUCAUCUCUUUGUAAAAGCUCAUAUGAUGCUAUAUGUGGAUCUGCCAUGAAUGCAUAGUUAAUUAUAUAACUAUUUCUCUGCUCAGGUAUGGAAUGAAACAUUUUUGUUGUUGCUUAGUAUAAUUGAUUCAGUACUAUGGAAGGGUCAUUUGCAGGGACCAAUUGAUAAUUUGCUUACACUAAUUAUGAUCAUUUGCAGCACUUGCAACACCAGCAUUCCACUACUCCCUUUAUAAGAUAUAUGUAUGUAUGUUGC
This is a long non-coding RNA of Vicia villosa (hairy vetch), 815 nucleotides long. RefSeq lists it as uncharacterized. NCBI's taxonomy places the organism in Eukaryota, Viridiplantae, Streptophyta, Magnoliopsida, Fabales, Fabaceae. The record is from RefSeq and is a predicted model, not a curated record. The transcript is spliced from 4 exons.